RNAcentral lists this ribosomal RNA (253 nucleotides) under uncultured bacterium. RNAcentral's name for it is "partial 16S ribosomal RNA". It matches the Rfam family "Bacterial small subunit ribosomal RNA", at positions 524 to 776 of the family's 1533-position model. The record is from RNAcentral.
UACGUACGAGGCGAGCGUUAUCCGGAAUUACUGGGCGUAAAGCGUGCGUAGGCGGUUUCUUAAGUCUGCUGUGAAAGCCCUGGGCUCAACCUGGGAAUGGCGGUGGAUACUGAGAAGCUGGAGUACGGUAGAGGAAGGUGGAAUUCCCGGUGUAGCGGUGAAAUGCGUUGAUAUCGGAAGGAACGCCGGUGGCGAAAGCGACGUGCUGGACCUCUACUGACGCUGAAGAACGAAAGCUAGGGGAGCAAACAGG